GCCUUAUCUGUCUAAUGAUUUUAAUGUACUUUCUUCAAAUUAGUCACUGUAGACGGUUGAUUUUAGGCUGCCAUAUAGCCUUUAGUUAAUUUUGGAGCAUGGAAAAUGAAUUGCUGGGUUUCAUUUAUUCAUUUAUUUAAGGGAUACUCAUAUAUGUUAGACACCAUCUAACAACAACAACAAAAACCAACAACAAUAAAAACUCCGUGUAAAGCAAGCCAGAUAGUAUCACUUUAGGAAUUAGCAGCAGCUGUUGCCAUUAGAGUGGAUAGGUUAAAAAUAACUCCAAGUUCUCUCUUGUUCCUUUUUUAACCUCUCCUUUGCAAUUAUGAAAUCCCAUUCAUCUAUGAUCCUCAAGCAUUCAUAUAAAUAUAUUUCAAAUAAAUGAAUCCUCAAACACGUAGGAGCUACAUGCUACUGCAAAUGAAAACAUUAAGGCACAAAGGAGGAAACUGACUUCGUUCAAGUAAUUUGACGACUGUGGCGCUCAAGCCGCAGAAUUAUCCGGGCAUGAAGUCUGCAAGCAGCUUGAUAAACACCUUCCGCCACGUUGAAGGGUUGUGGUCCUGGAGACGUGGCUGUCAGUGCAGAAUGACCCCAGCAAGCUUACCAGGGAGCAGAGCCAACUCCUAUGUGUUCCAAUACAUGCCACAGGGGAGCUCCUGCAAGUUUCCAUACACCAGGAGCUGUGAGAGACUCGGCAGUCCCUCAAGAUCAGGGAAAAAGGAAAGAAUGGAUAUCGGAACUGCAAGCCACUGUUGCGCAUUGCUUGAGCCCAUCGGAGAAUCAGACGAUAGCCUGUGUAGUUCCAGGCUGUACUUGCACAGCCCUUGAUAACCAACUGGACCUCAAAAGCUUGCCUCUUGAAAAACUUCUUGGGAUACACUCCUGGGAGAACUGAAUUUCCUAGAUGUCUCUCCAGACACGUAUAUGAUUCCUUUUAUUGGAAAAUAAACCUAUAUGGGGUGCCUGGGUGGCUCA
Molecule: long non-coding RNA, 981 nt
Filed under: Felis catus (domestic cat)
Lineage: Eukaryota; Metazoa; Chordata; Mammalia; Carnivora; Felidae
Description: lncRNA (ENSFCAG00000040778.2)
Source: RNAcentral